UACAGAGGGUGCGAGCGUUAAUCGGAAUUACUGGGCGUAAAGCGCACGUAGUCGGCUUUGCAAGUCGGGUGUGAAAUCCCCGGGCUCAACCUGGGAACUGCAUCCGAGACUGCAUUGCUAGAGUACGGGAGAGGGAAGCGGAAUUUCUGGUGUAGCAGUGAAAUGCGUAGAUAUCAGAAGGAACAUCAGUGGCGAAGGCGGCUUCCUGGACCAAUACUGACGAUCAGGUGCGAAAGCGUGGGGAGCAAACAGG
This 253-nucleotide ribosomal RNA is filed under the name uncultured bacterium. RNAcentral describes it as "partial 16S ribosomal RNA". It matches the Rfam family "Bacterial small subunit ribosomal RNA", at positions 524 to 776 of the family's 1533-position model. The record is from RNAcentral.